Molecule: ribosomal RNA, 254 nt
Filed under: uncultured bacterium
Lineage: Bacteria
Description: partial 16S ribosomal RNA
Rfam family: Bacterial small subunit ribosomal RNA
Source: RNAcentral
UACGUAGGGGGCAAGCGUUGUCCGGAUUUAUUGGGCGUAAAGAGCGUGUAGGCGGCCGUACAGGUCAGCUGUGAAAACUCGAGGCUCAACCUCGAGACGUCGGUUGAAACCGUACGGCUAGAGUCCGGAAGAGGAGAGUGGAAUUCCCCGGUGUAGCGGUGAAAUGCGCAGAUAUCGGGAAGAACACCCGUGGCGAAGGCGGCUCUCUGGGACGGUACUGACGCUGAGACGCGAAAGCGUGGGGAGCGAACAGG